Molecule: ribosomal RNA, 571 nt
Rfam family: Bacterial large subunit ribosomal RNA
CCAAAAACAUCGCCUCUUGAUUAAAUAUAAGAGGUCCAGCCUGCCCAGUGACAAAAUUUAACGGCCGCGGUACCCUGACCGUGCGAAGGUAGCAUAAUCACUUGUUCUUUAAAUAGGGACUAGUAUCAACGGCAUCACGAGGGUUUUACUGUCUCCUUUCUCCAAUCAGUGAAACUGAUCUUCCCGUGAAGAAGCGGGAAUAAACCUAUAAGACGAGAAGACCCCAUGGAGCUUUAAAUUUCACAGCAACUCAGUAACAUAUUUCCUCAUAACUCAAAGAGUUAUGCAUGCCAAUUUUAGGUUGGGGUGACCGCGGAGUAUAAAAUAACCUCCACAUCGAAAAGAACUAAAUCUUUAUUUAAGAGCCACAACUCUAAAAAUUAGUACACUAACGAACAAUGACCCGAUAAUCGAUCAACGGACCAAGUUACCCUGGGGAUAACAGCGCAAUCUACUUCAAGAGCCCAUAUCGACAAGUAGGCUUACGACCUCGAUGUUGGAUCAGGGUAUCCCAGUGGUGCAGCCGCUACUAAUGGUUCGUUUGUUCAACGAUUAAAACCCUACGUGAUCU